This 406-nucleotide ribosomal RNA is filed under the name uncultured bacterium. RNAcentral describes it as "partial 16S ribosomal RNA". It matches the Rfam family "Bacterial small subunit ribosomal RNA", at positions 30 to 526 of the family's 1533-position model. The record is from RNAcentral.
AUUGAACGCUGGCGGCAGGCCUAACACAUGCAAGUCGAACGAGUGGCGGACUGGUUUGUUCUGUCUUGGUAACUGCCUGAUGGAUGCGGAUACCUACUCCAAACGUUCGCUACUCCCGCUUCCCAUCCGUUGUGCCCAGAUUGGUUUAGCUAGGCGGUGGGGGAACGGCCCACCAAGGCGACGAUCCCUCGCUGGUCUGAGAGGAUGACCAGCCACACUGGAACUGAGACACGGUCCAGACUCCUACGGGAGGCAGCAGUUGGGAAUAUUGCACAAUGGGCGCAAGCCUGAUGCAGCCAUGCCGCGUGUAUGAAGAAGGCCUUCGGGUUGUAAAGUACUUUCAGCGGGGCGGCGUUAACCGAAGAAGAAGGACCGGCUAACUCCGUGCCAGCCGCCGCGGUAAUAG